GAUUCAGCGGCGGACGGGUGAGUAAUGCCUAGGAAUCUGCCUGGUAGUGGGGGACAACGUUUCGAAAGGAACGCUAAUACCGCAUACGUCCUACGGGAGAAAGCAGGGGACCUUCGGGCCUUGCGCUAUCAGAUGAGCCUAGGUCGGAUUAGCUAGUUGGUGAGGUAACGGCUCACCAAGGCUACGAUCCGUAACUGGUCUGAGAGGAUGAUCAGUCACACUGGAACUGAGACACGGUCCAGACUCCUACGGGAGGCAGCAGUGGGGAAUAUUGGACAAUGGGCGAAAGCCUGAUCCAGCCAUGCCGCGUGUGUGAAGAAGGUCUUCGGAUUGUAAAGCACUUUAAGUUGGGAGGAAGGGCAUUAACCUAAUACGUUAGUGUUUUGACGUUACCGACAGAAUAAGCACCGGCUAACUUCGUGCCAGCAGCCGCGGUAAUACGAAGGGUGCAAGCGUUAAUCGGAAUUACUGGGCGUAAAGCGCGCGUAGGUGGUUUGUUAAGUUGAAUGUGAAAGCCCCGGGCUCAACCUGGGAACUGCAUCCAAAACUGGCAAGCUAGAGUAUGGCAGAGGGUGGUGGAAUUUCCUGUGUAGCGGUGAAAUGCGUAGAUAUAGGAAGGAACACCAGUGGCGAAGGCGACCACCUGGGCUAAUACUGACACUGAGGUGCGAAAGCGUGGGGAGCAAACAGGAUUAGAUACCCUGGUAGUCCACGCCGUAAACGAUGUCAACUAGUUGUUGGGUUCCUUGAGGACUUAGUAACGAAGCUAACGCGAUAAGUUGACCGCCUGGGGAGUACGGCCGCAAGGUUAAAACUCAAAUGAAUUGAC
RNAcentral lists this ribosomal RNA (829 nucleotides) under uncultured bacterium. RNAcentral's name for it is "bacterial SSU rRNA". It matches the Rfam family "Bacterial small subunit ribosomal RNA", at positions 89 to 914 of the family's 1533-position model. The record is from RNAcentral.